UACGGGGGGUGCGGGCGUUGUCCGGAAUCACUGGGCGGAAAGGGCGCGUAGGUGGUUUGAUAAGGGUGUGGUGAAAGUCCGGGGCUCAACCCCGGAUCUGCCGUGCCGACUGUCAAACUCGAGGACUGUAGAGGCAGACGGAAUUCCGGGUGUAGCGGUGGAAUGCGUAGAGAUCCGGAGGAAGACCGGUGGCGAAGGCGGUCUGCUGGGCAGUUUCUGACACUGAGGCGCGCCAGCGUGGGGAGCAAACAGG
This 253-nucleotide ribosomal RNA is filed under the name uncultured bacterium. RNAcentral's name for it is "partial 16S ribosomal RNA". It matches the Rfam family "Bacterial small subunit ribosomal RNA", at positions 524 to 776 of the family's 1533-position model. The record is from RNAcentral.